RNAcentral lists this ribosomal RNA (231 nucleotides) under uncultured bacterium. RNAcentral describes it as "partial 16S ribosomal RNA". It matches the Rfam family "Bacterial small subunit ribosomal RNA", at positions 28 to 260 of the family's 1533-position model. The record is from RNAcentral.
GACGAACGCUGGCGGCGUGCUUAACACAUGCAAGUCGAGCGGUAAGGCCCUUUCGGGGGUACACGAGCGGCGAACGGGUGAGCAACACGUGGGUGACCUGCCCUCAGCUCUGGGAUAAGCCUGGGAAACCGGGUCUAAUACCGGAUAUGACUCCAUGACGCAUGUUGUGGGGUGGAAAGCCUUGUGCGGCUGAGGAUGGGCCCGCGGCCUAUCAGCUUGUUGGUGGGGUGA